Molecule: long non-coding RNA, 4098 nt
Filed under: Sus scrofa (pig)
Lineage: Eukaryota; Metazoa; Chordata; Mammalia; Artiodactyla; Suidae
Description: lncRNA (ENSSSCG00045023185.1)
Source: RNAcentral
AUUUCUGGCCACCAUGAAGGCAGUAUUGAUGUAUGACAGUGGUUUGCAAGUUUGGAUGUAAAAGCUGAGAGUGAUCUGACUUGUCUAGUCUGAGAAAGGGAAAGAGGACAAUUUCUAGGAAAGGUUGGGGUGGGGGCACUGAAGCCUGACACUUGAAACUCGGCCAAGGAGAAACAGGUGAGGAGACACUUGGCAGAAAGGUUUUCUUUGGAAAUCACGGGCUGUGUCAUAUAAAACUCUCUAUUGCUUCCUACAGAUUCUUCAGGAGGAUCUGCACAGCUUACAAAUGCUUUGGGAAGUGUGCCUUCUGCCUUCUUUUUCAGGGGAUGCGGAGAACUACCAUGUGCUGCAUUAACUGUAUCUCAAGGUGAAAACCCGAGUGAUGCAUAAGGAGAAGCCAAUAUGCCAACUGCCGUAAGGGCCUUGGCCUCAGGAAGUUCAGACCUCAGAGAACGAAACCUCUCUAUUAAAGCAGUCAUUAAAAUACACCCUGAUAAAUAUGCUAAAGGCUAUUCCAGAAAUACCAAGUAUUGCAUGUACACGUUGGAGCGCAUAACGGACUCUACCUGGGAAAUUGAAGAACAUUUCACAUUUCAAGGUGAAACGAUAGCUUGACAGAUGGAGAAGUAAAAAGGAAACUGUUCAGUUGGAACAAACAGAAACUGUCUCAAAAUAGUCACGUUUCUGUUGACUGCUGUGGAUAACAGAGUAAAAAAGGUGCAGAGUCUUAGAAAAACUGAUUGGAUGAAACAAAUGAAUAGGCAAUGAAUUAGAGUGCUACAAAAAUAACGCGCAGAUCAAAAAAAGAAAGCAUGAACGACAUUAUAAUUAUAAAAUCGAACUAAAAGAAGAAAGUAUUCAACUAAGCAAAGAGGUUUAUGUUGAUGACGACAAAGCUCUAACCAUCAUAAAUGUUUAUUAUAAACCAAAUAACAUGCCCUCUGAGUGCCUGCACCACAAACAGGAGAAACUAUAGGCAAAUUAGACAAAAAGACAAUGGCAGUAACUGUUCCUUCAAUUUUCUUAGCCCCUGACAGAUCAAGUAGAUAAAAUAUAGUAAGGAUAUAGAGUUUACAACUAAUACGGUUAAUGAAGUUGAGCUUAGAAAUACAGGCAUAAACAUGAAUAUCUAGUUUUGACUAUCAAGUCAGUCAAAAACUAUUUGCUGAGCACCUAUUAUGUACCCGACAUUACCUAGGUGCUCAAGUUAUAGCAGUGACUAAAACAGAAGUAAAUCCCUGUGCUUGGGGACUUACAUUACAGAUGUAUGUAAUGCAGAAAGACAUAUGACUCCUGGGCUAAGGGGAAUGCCGGCCAGCUUCCUCCACUGUAAAAUUACCAUUUUGCCUUCUGUAAAUGAUAAACUUCCUGUUGGGAGAGACUCUGAGAUUAUGUAAAUAUCCCCUUUCUCAUUGUGCAUUUACUUACCCGUUUUAAUAUCCACGGAUGAUUCCUGCCUGAAAAAAAUUAUUGCUGUGGUCACUGCCAAGUGACGAUUUUCUAAUUCCCUCACUGCAUCUAUAUUUAGUAGGUGGAAUUCUACUGUAAGCAAAAAGGUGUCCCCCCUCCACAUUUAUUUAUCUAUAGAGUUACAUAAAUGGACUCAUGGAUUCCUAUUUUAUUCCACAGACCAUUACUAUCAUUAUUUACUAUUACGACUAUCAUUAUGUAUUUGGUCAUUCAAACUGCCCCAGAUUUGGUCAGUGGGAGACACUUAAAACUAGCUCCUGUGUCUUUUGCACAUAUCCUCAUCAUUUGAGGACUUCCUUGCUUUCUGGUACAAGAUAUUUCAAACUCAUAUUGUUCUCUCCCUGCCUUGGAGUCAGACACUUCUGCAAGACUCCUUUCAUUGGAGAAUGGCAUUUAGACACUAAGAUACGGGUACCAGGUGUGCUCAUUUUUACCAGGGCAUCAUUGCUUCUAGGCCAUCUCAGACACAGAUAGACAGAUGUACAUAUGCAUACAUAAGUUUAUUUCUAUAUUUUUCUACUAUAUUUAAAACCAUGAAUUCACACUGAUACGUCUAGUUCCAAUCCACCAUCACUGGGUUUAUUCUAGCCCUCUCUUUUCCUUUUUUUUUUUGCUAUUUCUUGGGCCACUUCCGCGCAUAUAGAAGUUCCCAGGCUAGGAGUGGAAUCAAAGCUGCAGCUGCUGGCCGGCCUAUGCCACCGCCACAGUGGUGCCAGAUCCGAGCCGCAUCUGCAACCUACACUGCAGCUCACGGCCACCCUGGAUCCUUAACCCACUGAGUGAGGCUGGGGAUCGAUCCCAUGUCCUCAAGAAUAUUAGUCGGGUUUGUUACCGCUGAACCACAACGGGAGCUUACCUCCUUUUCCUGAAAAUGACACUCUAACUAGAAAACUCACAGGCCAAUGAAAUGGACAGAACAAAGAGCAAUGAGGUAGGGGAGCCUAUGGUCUAGCUAGUUCUAGUUUGGCAGCAGUUUGGGAGGUUGACAAGCAGUCAGCAAACGAUAAGUGGGAGAGAUGGGCAUGGCAUGUGAACUUGAGGCAACUGGGCUGAAGCCGGAAGCUCAGGAAGUUCCUGGCUAUGACAGUCCUACUCUGUCUCUCGCUGCCAUGGGCACAACUCGGAUGAAAAAUGUUCAUAAAACUCCACUGCCUAAUCCUGUUAUCUGAGACCACUGACCAGUGGAAGGGAAACCCCACACAAGUAAAAGCAGGGCUCUUUCUCCUCCUGGCUUUGUGAAUCAGCUUACGAGUGGUCAGAGAGCCAUCUGCCUUGUUUCCUUUUCUUAUCCCUUGCUGUUACCAAGAAAGAUUGGGCCUAAUUAAAGACAUGAGGAUAUAUAGAAGGGAGUCAACAAAGAACAUCAAUAAUCCCCAAUUAAAAGACAAAGACUCAGAGGAAAUGCGGGCAAAUAGAUCAAUGGAACGGAAUAGAGUCCAGGAAGACUCUCACCUACUCAAUCCACUUAUUUGCAACAAACGUACUUGGUCAAUGAAAUGCAGAAAGAGAAGACUUUUUAACAAAUGAUGCUGGAACAAUCAGAAAAAAAAAAAAGAAAAAAGAAUCUCCCCCUCUGCCUCACUCCAUACACGAACAUAAAUUAGAAAUGCAAAAGGCUCAAAGCCCUGUAUUGUUUUGUUCGUUUUUCGCUUUGGGUUUUUUUUGUUUGUUUGUUUGGUUAGUUUUGUUUUGUUUUGUUUUUGAUGGCACCCGUGGCACAUGGAAGUUCCCAGGCAGGGAUCGAAUCCAAGUCGCAGCUGUUACCUAUGCCACAGCUGCAGCAAUGCUGGAUCCUUAACCCACUGCACCAGGCCAGGGAUUGAACCCGUGCCUCCAUAGCAACCUGAGCCACUACAGUCGAAUCCUUAACCCACUGCCAAAGCCCCAUGAGGACAAAACACUUGAACAGAAACUUCAUAUGCCAAUAAGUACAGGAAAAUAUGCUCAAUGUCACUGGUUAUUAGAGAAAUGCAAAAGACAGACUCUGUUUUGGUGUCCUGCUACCCAGCUAGGGGCUGAACAUUCCAAAACAAAAAUAACUCCCUUUACACAAUAUGCGACAUGAAAGGCAUGGAAAAUCAGCACCCUCAUUCAUCAUUAAGAAUGUAAUUGGAACAGCUUUUUGGAGAGCAAUUUGGCAGAAUUUAACACCAUUUUAUGCAAUAAUCUUUGACCCAGCGAUAUCAAUUGUAGGGAUACGCUAAAGAAAAUUCACCCUUGUGCACAAAGAUGCAGAGACAAAACGGUUCACUGCAAAUUUGUUUGGAAGAGUGAAUAUUUGGAAACCCUCUAAAAUUUAGCCCAUUAGUAUGGGGAAGGGUUAAGUAAGCUAUGGGGCAUCCAUUACUCACAUGCUAGAUGCAAUUGUUAAAAUCAGAGGGUGAACUUCUAUUUACUGACAUGGAGGGAUCUCCAAGGGAAACAGACCUAUUGCUAAGUAAAAAGAAGGAAGUCACUGAGCAGUGUAAGUGGUUCUAUUUACAUUAUUAAACACUCACAUCUUUAAAGAGGCACACUUCAUAAAUAAAGGCAAUGCUAAAUUUCUGGAAGAAUACACAUGGGAGUUCGCAACAGUGUCCACCUCUGUGCACAUAUGGAGUGAGGAUACCUUUCACCACUUUUUUUUUC